GACGAACGCUGGCGGCGUGCCUAAUACAUGCAAGUCGAGCGAACCUACCUGGAGGUUGCUCCUCCGACGACACUGUGGGACAGGAGACUAACUCGCGGCGAACCUAUGUGUAACACUGGGAUAACUUCCGGAAACCGGAGCGAUUACCGGAUAAUACAUUUACCAGUAUGGUUCAAUAGUAAAAGAUGGCUUUGCACUCACUUAUAGAUGGUUCCGCGCCGCAUUAGCUAGUUGGUAAGGUAACGGCUUACCAAGGCUACGAUGCGUAGCCGACCUGAGAGACUGAUCGGCCACACUGGAACUGAGACACGGCCCAGACUCCUACGGGAGGCAGCAGUAGGGAAUCUUCCGCAAUGGGCGAAAGCCUGACGGAGCAACGCCGCGUGAGUGAUGAAGGUCUUCGGAUCGUAAAACUCUGUUAUUAGGGAAGAAGAAAUGUGUAAGUAACUAUGCACGGCUUGACGGUACCUAAUUAGAAAGCCACGGCUAACUACGUG
This 497-nucleotide ribosomal RNA is filed under the name uncultured bacterium. Its description in RNAcentral is "partial 16S ribosomal RNA". It matches the Rfam family "Bacterial small subunit ribosomal RNA", at positions 28 to 507 of the family's 1533-position model. The record is from RNAcentral.